AUGUCCCCCACCGAAGAAAGUCAAAGAACAUACGACUGCGAGAGGCGAGGGGGUGUUGCCAUCAAAGAGGGGGAGGGCUCCAGAGGAUGUUGGCAGGGUUCUCCCCGCGGCAACGAGGUGAAGAAGACUACUUCACGCGGGGCCAAGCAUAUCAUUAGGGACCCACUCGAACGCCUUCAUUCAAAGUUGUCAACAGGGGGCAACUCGGAUGUUCAUGAGGCGCCAGUCGACAAAACUGCUGCUGCACCGUCAACUGUUCCCACUAACUCUGAUGCAAGUGGCCGACCAUCUCCGCCGGUUGCAGAUGUCCAGGUUAGAACAACAGGCAUCCGUACAUCGGGGAGUGACGAGUCGGUAUCUGCCAGGACAGCUGAAAUAUUGCCAACUCUUCUGGCAAUGAAGGAUGCUGCUAUGAGCCAUGCCACCCCAUCAGCAAGCGUUGAAGUGGACGCUCCCGAGACCAACCUAAGCAAGGAAUAUUCCCACUCAUCUGACACUGAUUCCAAGCGCGUGCGUGGUGGCACUCCUGUGUCCACGACAGAAGUGGCUGAGACACGGAUAUUACAAUGUGAUGGAGAAACUGGAAGACCGGAGCACAACUGA
RNAcentral lists this ribosomal RNA (603 nucleotides) under Triticum aestivum (bread wheat). Its description in RNAcentral is "partial small subunit ribosomal RNA". Lineage: Eukaryota; Viridiplantae; Streptophyta; Magnoliopsida; Poales; Poaceae. The record is from RNAcentral.